This 253-nucleotide ribosomal RNA is filed under the name uncultured bacterium. RNAcentral's name for it is "partial 16S ribosomal RNA". It matches the Rfam family "Bacterial small subunit ribosomal RNA", at positions 524 to 776 of the family's 1533-position model. The record is from RNAcentral.
UACGGGGGGUGCGAGCGUUGUCCGGAAUCACUGGGCGUAAAGGGCGCGUAGGUGGCGUGAUAAGGGUGUGGUGAAAGCCCGGGGCUCAACCCCGGGUCUGCCAUGCCGACUGUCAGGCUAGAGUACUGUAGGGGCAGGCGGAAUUCCGGGUGUAGCGGUGGAAUGCGUAGAGAUCGGCAGGAACACCCAGGGGGAAACCAGUCGACUGGGCAUCUACUGACGCUGAGGUGCGAGAGCGUGGGGAGCGAACCGG